This 253-nucleotide ribosomal RNA is filed under the name uncultured bacterium. RNAcentral describes it as "partial 16S ribosomal RNA". It matches the Rfam family "Bacterial small subunit ribosomal RNA", at positions 524 to 776 of the family's 1533-position model. The record is from RNAcentral.
UACGUAGGGUGCAAGCGUUAAUCGGAAUUACUGGGCGUAAAGCGUGCGCAGGCGGUUUUGUAAGUCUGUUGUGAAAUCCCCGGGCUUAACCUGGGAAUGGCAAUGGAGACUGCAAGGCUAGAGUUUGGCAGAGGGGGGUAGAAUUCCACGUGUAGCAGUGAAAUGCGUAGAGAUGCGGAGGAACACCGAUGGCGAAGGCAACCCCCUGGGCUGACACUGACGCUCAGGCACGAAAGCGUGGGGAGCAAACAGG